UCUAUCAGCUGAACUCAAGCCCACAUGAACUCAACUCUUCCAUCGCCAAAUUGCACUUGAUCAUCUUUUAAUUCGAUCAUGAUUAAGUGCUUGUAGGCUUGGUCAACGAAGUUAUCGUCACCGAUGAUGCCAACCCAAUUCCCUUCUUUGUCUCAACUCUCAACGUGUCAUAACGUAGGAAAAGCUCCACCAAAAUAACCCUAGCUAGGAGCACCACCAAAUCUUUCCCUGGACACUGCUUAUCUUCUACCAUUGGAUCUUUCGUCUCACGAUCAUUUGACCAGUGUACAUACUUCAGUAGCUUUUCUG
RNAcentral lists this unclassified non-coding RNA (309 nucleotides) under Hevea brasiliensis (rubber tree). Lineage: Eukaryota; Viridiplantae; Streptophyta; Magnoliopsida; Malpighiales; Euphorbiaceae. The record is from RNAcentral.